This 171-nucleotide non-coding RNA is filed under the name Paraburkholderia susongensis. RNAcentral describes it as "Glycine sequence". It matches the Rfam family "Glycine riboswitch aptamer". Rfam says of the family: This family represents the bacterial glycine riboswitch. Glycine riboswitches usually consist of two metabolite-binding aptamers domains with similar structures in tandem. The record is from RNAcentral. Lineage: Bacteria; Pseudomonadati; Pseudomonadota; Betaproteobacteria; Burkholderiales; Burkholderiaceae.
UUUUCGCACUCUGGAGAGCGGCAGUAGCCAUCCGCAUCGCACGCAUCGUGCAAAGCAGGCAGGCUGCCCACCGAAGGGGCGCGCGUUUCACUGUGACGGAUCAGGCUCGAGCGAGCAUCGAACACGUCGCACACGCGCAAUCUCUCAGGUAUCGAGGACAGAGGGGGCAUG